RNAcentral lists this ribosomal RNA (971 nucleotides) under Delftia acidovorans. Its description in RNAcentral is "bacterial SSU rRNA". It matches the Rfam family "Bacterial small subunit ribosomal RNA", at positions 66 to 1045 of the family's 1533-position model. Lineage: Bacteria; Pseudomonadati; Pseudomonadota; Betaproteobacteria; Burkholderiales; Comamonadaceae. The record is from RNAcentral.
UGUUAAUUGGGGUGCGGAGCUAUAAUAGGGGUAUAGGGGGAAAACCGUCGGAACGUGCCCAACGUGGGGGAUAACUACUCAAAAGAUGGGUGAUCCCGUAUACGAUCUGAGGAUGAAAGCGGGGGACCUUCGGGUCUCGGGCGCUUGGAGCGGCCGAUGGCAGAUUAGGUAGUUGGCGGGAUAAAAGCUUACCAAGCCGACGAUCUGUCAAUGGUCUGAGAGGACGACCGGCCACACUGGGACUGAGACACGGGGAAACUCCUACGGGAGGCAACAUGGGGGAAUGUUGGACAAUGGGAGAAAGCCUGAUCCAGCAAUGCCCCGUGCCGGAUGAAGGCCUUCGGGUUGUAAACUGCUUUUGUACUGAACGAAAAAGCUUCUCCUAAUACGAGAGGCCCAUGACAGUACCGUAAGAAUCUGACCCGGCGAACUACGUGCCUGCAGCCCCGGUGAUACGUAGGGUGCGAGCGUUAAUCGGAAUUACUGGGCGUCUAGCGUGAGCAGGCGGUUAUGUAAGACAUAUGUGAAAUCCCCGGGGUCAACCUGGUAACUGCUUUUGUGACUGCAUGUCUAGAAUACGGAAGAGAGGGAUAGAAUUCCGCGUGUACCAGUGAAAUGCGUAAAUAUGUGGAGGAACACCGAUGGCGCAGGCGAUCCCCUGGACCUGUGCUGACGCUCAUGCACUAAAGCGUGGGGAGCAAACAGGAUUAGAUACCCUGGUAGUCCACGCCCUAAACGAUGUCAACUGGUUGUUGGGAUUAGUUUCUCAGUAACGAGCUAACGCGUGAAGUUGACCGCCUGGGAGCACGGCGCAAGGUUGAAACUCAAGGAAUUUGACGGACCCGCACAAGCCGUGAUGAUGUGGUUUAUUUCGAUGCAACGCGAAAAACCUUACCACACCUUUGACAUUGGACAGGAGUUUCCAGAAGAUGGAAUCGUGCUCGCAAGGAGAACCUGCACACAGGGCUGCA